CUCGAAGUAGUCACCCUCACCAAAGCCAAUGUGCUGCGCUAGCGCCGCCAGUGCGAGAGGAGUUCCCAUGCACUGCAGCUGGACGCACCGCGCCGCCACUGCCUUUCGGGCCCGUCCGCCGCGGGGGACGGACGAGGGACCCAGUUACACAAGCCGGGCUUGAGGGUUUGAAAUGACGCUCGGGCAGGCAUGCCCCCCGGAAUACCAGGGGGCGCAAUGUGCGUUCAAAGAUUCGAUGAUUCACGGAAUUCUGCAAUUCACAUUACUUAUCGCAUUUCGCUGCGUUCUUCAUCGAUG
This 297-nucleotide unclassified non-coding RNA is filed under the name uncultured Ascomycota. Its description in RNAcentral is "sequence contains ITS1". The record is from RNAcentral. Lineage: Eukaryota; Fungi; Ascomycota.